RNAcentral lists this ribosomal RNA (497 nucleotides) under uncultured bacterium. RNAcentral describes it as "partial 16S ribosomal RNA". It matches the Rfam family "Bacterial small subunit ribosomal RNA", at positions 28 to 507 of the family's 1533-position model. The record is from RNAcentral.
GAUGAACGCUGGCGGCGUGCCUAAUACAUGCAAGUCGAGCGAACAGACGAGGAGCUUGCUCCUCUGACGUUAGCGGCGGACGGGUGAGUAACACGUGGAUAACCUACCUAUAAGACUGGGAUAACUUCGGGAAACCGGAGCUAAUACUGGAUAAUAUAUUGAACCGCAUGGUUCAAUAGUGAAAGACGGUUUUGCUGUCACUUAUAGCUGGAUCCGCGCCGCAUUAGCUAGUUGGUAAGGUAACGGCUUACCAAGGCAACGAUGCGUAGCCGACCUGAGAGGGUGAUCGGCCACACUGGAACUGAGACACGGUCCAGACUCCUACGGGAGGCAGCAGUAGGGAAUCUUCCGCAAUGGGCGAAAGCCUGACGGAGCAACGCCGCGUGAGUGAUGAAGGUCUUCGGAUCGUAAAACUCUGUUAUUAGGGAAGAACAAAUGUGUAAGUAACUAUGCACGUCUUGACGGUACCUAAUCAGAAAGCCACGGCUAACUACGUG